RNAcentral lists this long non-coding RNA (419 nucleotides) under Marmota monax (woodchuck). Lineage: Eukaryota; Metazoa; Chordata; Mammalia; Rodentia; Sciuridae. The record is from RNAcentral.
AAUCCCUAUGUACCUUCACCCAGAAUUCCUAAACCCUCUAAUAGUAAAAUCUUAUAUAACCUAUAUAUAACCUCUACAUUAUCAAUACCAAGAAACUGACAUUUGUAUGAUACUGCCUACUAACCUGGAGAUGCAUUUGAAUUUUAUCAAUUACUUGUUUUCUCUCUACAUAUCAUUCAGUGAAAUUUAAUCACAUAUAUAGAUGCAUGUAACUACCACAGUAAUCCUGAACAAAAUGAUUUAAUCAUCACAAAGAAGCACUCAGGCUCCAUUUUAUAAUCAUAACCCUCUCUACAAAUGUAACCCCUGCCUGGCAACCACUGAUCUGUUCUCCAUAACCACAAUUUUGUCUUUUCAAUAGAUAUAUAAGUGGAAUCACACAAUGCACAUAACCUUUUUAGAUUGGCUUCUUUUUGCUC